CUAUACUGCAGUCGAGCGGAUUGUUCCUUCGGGAACAGUUAGCGGCGGACGGGUGAGUAACACGUAGGCAACCUGCCUACAGGAUCGGGAUAACUACCGGAAACGGUAGCUAAGACCGAAUACAAGACUUUGACGCAUGUUGAGAGUUUGGAAACACGGAGCAAUCUGUGACCUGUAGAUGGGCCUGCGGCGCAUUAGCUAGUUGGUGAGGUAACGGCUCACCAAGGCGACGAUGCGUAGCCGACCUGAGAGGGUGAACGGCCACACUGGGACUGAGACACGGCCCAGACUCCUACGGGAGGCAGCAGUAGGGAAUCUUCCGCAAUGGACGCAAGUCUGACGGAGCAACGCCGCGUGAGUGAUGAAGGUUUUCGGAUCGUAAAGCUCUGUUGCCAGGGAAGAAAGGCCAGGAGAGUAACUGCUCUUGGAUUGACGGUACCUGAGAAGAAAGCCCCGGCUAACUACGUGCCAGCAGCCGCGGUAAUACGUAGGGGGCAAGCGUUGUCCGGAAUUAUUGGGCGUAAAGCGCGCGCAGGCGGUCAUUUAAGUUUGGUGUUUAAUUCCGGGGCUCAACCCCGGGUCGCAUCGAAAACUGGGUGACUGGAGUGCGGGAGAGGAAAGUGGAAUUCCACGUGUAGCGGUGAAAUGCGUAGAGAUGUGGAGGAACACCAGUGGCGAAGGCGACUUUCUGGACCGUAACUGACGCUGAGGCGCGAAAGCGUGGGGAGCAAACAGGAUUAGAUACCCUGGUAGUCCACGCCGUANACGAUGAGUGCUAGGUGUCGGGGGUUUCAAUACCCGCGGUGCCGAAGUUAACACAGUAAGCACUCCGCCUGGGGAGUACGCUCGCAAGAGUGAAACUCAGAGGAAUUGACGGGGACCCGCACAAGCAGUGGAGUAUGUGGCUUAAUUCGAAGCAACGCGAAGAACCUUACCAGGUCUUGACAUCCCGAUGAAACAU
This 961-nucleotide ribosomal RNA is filed under the name Paenibacillus sp. RNAcentral's name for it is "bacterial SSU rRNA". It matches the Rfam family "Bacterial small subunit ribosomal RNA", at positions 49 to 999 of the family's 1533-position model. Lineage: Bacteria; Bacillati; Bacillota; Bacilli; Caryophanales; Paenibacillaceae. The record is from RNAcentral.